ACGAACUUCUGGGGGGUGGAACGCUUGCGUUUGGUGAGGCUGUUGGCCAGCCGAUCAAUGAAGGUUGGCCGCUCAGAGGAUGAGUGCAACAUGGAGUCUGGCACCAUCUCCAGAUCGCAUCCCUUUGUGAAGAGGGGGUAGAUGCUGGAAUCAUCCUGGUCCUGCACUCCCUCUGACCCAGCCCUCAACUCCCCCACAGGCCUGCCUACAGCCCUACCUGCUUGGCCAGCCAGAGCUUGGGCUUCAGUGCUGAGACUCUGUAGGUAGUUGUGGCACCGCUCUUUGUGCUCCUCCAGGGUACUCUGCUGUUUGUAGCUCCGGCCACAGUAGUUACACUUGUAGGGCUUGCCCACCGUGGGAGAGGAGACUGUGGAGGAGACGGGAGACGGAUGGCAUGAGUUACUUCUCCCUGUACCCUGGCUCUACAAAACCAUCCAGGAGCAAAGGCUCAUGGGCUUGAGGAGGAAGGGAUGUCGCUCAGAUUUUAUUUUUAAGUAAUCUGGGGCUAGAACUUACAGCCCCAAGAUCAAGAGUCACAUGCUUCACCAGCUGAGCCAGCCAGGCACCUCUACUGCUUAUUUUUCUGUCCCUCUACACUGAGAUACCAAGAGAGCCCCAGAACAACUAUCACUGAUAGAGAAAUUCCGAGAAGAGAAAAAGAAUAAAAGGACAGAGAGGAGAAUAAAGGAGAUGAGUAAAAGGAACAGAAACAACAACUUUGAGGGCCUUUAAAAUUUUUUUAAAAAUAAAGAACAAGUUAUAAAGAUUUUUUCUGGGGUGUCUGGCUGGCUUAGUUGGGAGAGCAUGCGACCCUUCAUCUCAGUGUUGUGAGUUCAAGCCCCAUGGUGACUGUACAGAUUACUUAAAGAAAAAAAAGAAGAUUUUGUUUCUACUGAAGAAGUCAGGAAAACUGAGAUGGACACUUCAUUUAAAGACAACUUUUGAGAGAUGAUAUUUGUGACAGGAGAAGGAAAGUGAGAGAAACAAGAGUUUCAGUAUCCUUGUCAGCAAAACAAGGAUAAUGCCAUCUACCUUAGAGGCGUUAUGAGGAUCACAUGAAAAAACAAGCAAAAUGCUUUGUGGAUUAUAAAGCCUGAAUCAACGAUGACCUUUCUCCCUGUUUCUCUACUCACCUCCAAGGUAACUGACCCGAGUGUGUGCGGAGGUGGCCAGUGAGAGCAUCGCGCCGGCGGCAGGCGUAGUUACAGAAGGGACAUUUGAAAGGCUUCUCCCCAGAGUGAAGUUUGAUGUGGCGCAGCAGGUUCCCCUUCUGGGUGAAGGAGGCGCCACACUGGUUGCAGUGGAAGGGCCUUUCACCUGCAAGAGAAAGAACAGAUCUCUGAGGACUGCAUGUGAGGAAUUUUGAAGGCUGAACCUCUUCUGUCACCCUCUGCCCCACCCUGCCUAAGGGACGAUGCUCAGAACAAUUACUGAGAGGCAGAGCUGUGGCACGCACAGGAAAUUCCUGCUUUCUAAAGAUUCCCUUGGGAAGAGACUUACCCUGGGAAGGUGUGGAUCAGGAUGAAUGGCAGGGCAAAGGGCACCAGGCCUGGAACUCUGGGCCAAAAGAUCAUUAACCCAAAACCGAGCCUUAUAAGACCCACUCUGCCCCUGGAGCCCAAAGGCUGAGAAAGCUGAGAAGAGGCUUUUGUUUUCCUUUUC
Herpailurus yagouaroundi (jaguarundi) is the source of this 1662-nucleotide long non-coding RNA. RefSeq lists it as uncharacterized. The record is from RefSeq and is a predicted model, not a curated record. Lineage: Eukaryota; Metazoa; Chordata; Mammalia; Carnivora; Felidae. The transcript has 5 exons.